This 492-nucleotide ribosomal RNA is filed under the name uncultured bacterium. Its description in RNAcentral is "partial 16S ribosomal RNA". It matches the Rfam family "Bacterial small subunit ribosomal RNA", at positions 30 to 507 of the family's 1533-position model. The record is from RNAcentral.
AUUGAACGCUGGCGGCAUGCUUUACACAUGCAAGUCGAACGGUAACAGGCCUUCGGGUGCUGACGAGUGGCGAACGGGGGAGUAAUGCAUCGGAACGUGCCCAGAGGUGGGGGAUAACGCAGCGAAAGCUGUGCUAAUACCGCAUGUGAUCUGAGGAUGAAAGCGGGGGACCAGGCAGCAAUGUUUGGCCUCGCGCCUUUGGAGCGGCCGAUGUCAGAUUAGGUAGUUGGUGGGGUAAAGGCCUACCAAGCCGACGAUCUGUAGCUGGUCUGAGAGGACGACCAGCCACACUGGAACUGAGACACGGCCCAGACUCCUACGGGAGGCAGCAGUGGGGAAUUUUGGACAAUGGGCGCAAGCCUGAUCCAGCAAUGCCGCGUGCGGGAAGAAGGCCUUCGGGUUGUAAACCGCUUUUGUACGGAACGAAAAGGCUCUGGCUAAUACCUGGGGCUGAUGACGGUACCGUAAGAAUAAGCACCGGCUAACUACGUG